RNAcentral lists this ribosomal RNA (910 nucleotides) under Laminatubus sp. n. GR-2017. RNAcentral's name for it is "bacterial SSU rRNA". It matches the Rfam family "Eukaryotic small subunit ribosomal RNA", at positions 57 to 906 of the family's 1831-position model. The record is from RNAcentral. Lineage: Eukaryota; Metazoa; Annelida; Polychaeta; Sabellida; Serpulidae.
GUGUAAGUACACGCCUUAGUAUGGUGAAACUGCGAAUGGCUCAUUAAAUCAUAUGUGAUUUCUUAGAUCGUUGCGUCCUUUCGGGGACGACUGGAUAACUGUGGCAAUUCUAGAGCUAAUACAUGCAAUCAAGCUCCGACCUCACGGGACGAGCGCUCUUAUUAGACCAAGGCCAACCUGCUAGUUCGCGCUGGCAGUUUGCUGUGGUGACUCUGGAUAAAGCUCAGUUAAUCGCAUGACCUUUGCGUCGGCGAUGUAUCUUUCAAGCGUAUGCCCUAUCAGCUGUCGACGGUAGGGUAGCGGCCUACCGUGGCAAUUACGGGUAACGGGGGAUCAGGGUCCGAUCCCGGAGAGUAAGCCUGAGAGACGGCUUAUACAUCUAAGGAAGGCAGCAGGCGCGCAAAUUACCCAAUGGGGACACCCUGAGGUAGUGACAAGAAAUAACAAUACGCGACUCUUUCGAGGCCGCGUAAUUGGAAUGAGCACAUUCUAAAUCCUUUAGCGAGGAUCAAUUGGAGGGCAAGUCUGGUGCCAGCAGCCGCGGUAAUUCCAGCUCCAAUAGCGUAUAUUAAAGUUGCUGCAGUUAAAAAGCUCGUAGUUGACAUCCGACGCUCGUCUCGGCGGUCCUGUUCACGCAGGCACUGCCUUGACGGCAUCUACACACUGGCUUGCGGUCGUGCACGCUCGGCGACGGGUAGCACAGAUCGGAGCCCCGGGUGCCCUUCAUUGGGUGCCCGCGGGUGGCCUUUGCGUUUACUUUGAAGAAAUUAGAGUGUUCAAAGCGGGCUCUUGACAGCUCGUAUACUCGGUACAUGGAAUAAUGGAAUAGGACCCUGGUUCAUUUCCGUUGGUCUAUGGGCAAUGGGUAAUGAUUAAAAGGGACUGCCGGGGGCAUUGGUAUGGCGGGGGG